UAACUUAGGGAGAAGGGGUGCCUACGAGAGUAGGCCGCAGUGAAUAGGCUCAAGCAACUGUUUAUCAAAAACACAGGUCUCUGCUAAAGCGUAAGCUGAUGUAUAGGGGCUGACGCCUGCCCGGUGCUGGAAGGUUAAGGGGAAUAGUUAGCGCAAGCGAAGCUAUGAACUUAAGCCCCAGUAAACGGCGGCCGUAACUAUAACGGUCCUAAGGUAGCGAAAUUCCUUGUCGGGUAAGUUCCGACCCGCACGAAUGGCGUAAUGAUUUGAGCACUGUCUCGGCAAUAAAUCCGGUGAAAUUGUAGUGCAAGUGAAGAUGCUUGCUACCCGCGGUUGGACGGAAAGACCCCGUAGAGCUUUACUGUAGCUUAGCAUUGAAUUUCGGUAUUGUCUGUACAGGAUAGGUGGGAGACUUAGAAGCGAGGGCGUCAGCUUUCGUGGAGUCGUCCUUGGGAUACCACCCUGACAGUACUGGAAUUCUAACUGGAGGCCAUGAAUCUGGUCACAGGACAUUGCUAGGUGGGCAGUUUGACUGGGGCGGUCGCCUCCUAAAAGGUAACGGAGGCGCCCAAAGGUUCCCUCAGCGCGGUCGGAAAUCGCGCGUAGAGUGCAAAGGCAGAAGGGAGCCUGCCUGCGACACAUACAGGUGGAGCAGGGACGAAAGUCGGGCUUAGUGAUCCGGUGGUUCUGUAUGGAAGGGCCAUCGCUCAACGGAUAAAAGCUACCUCGGGGAUAACAGGCUGAUCUCCCCCAAGAGUCCACAUCGACGGGGAGGUUUGGCACCUCGAUGUCGGCUC
This 797-nucleotide ribosomal RNA is filed under the name Clostridium botulinum C/D. Its description in RNAcentral is "partial 23S ribosomal RNA". It matches the Rfam family "Bacterial large subunit ribosomal RNA", at positions 1731 to 2538 of the family's 2925-position model. The record is from RNAcentral. Lineage: Bacteria; Bacillati; Bacillota; Clostridia; Eubacteriales; Clostridiaceae.